AUGGCCACAGGCUCAGAGCACAGAACAGUGCGGAGGGCUGUUUUCUGUAGUGUCACCAUCGUUGUCAACUGGUCUGUAAGAAGAAAAGCAGUACAGAACAGGCCUCAAGCCCCAACCGAGUCAGGUCAAAGCAGCUGGAAGCCUGUGUCAGCCUCUAGUCCACAAACCAUAGCAGCUCACUGGAGACGGGGCAUCAGAGAGACACCCUACUUCUUUUCCCUUCCUGGAAGCAAGACAGCAGGUAGAACUGGGUCAGAGAGAACCCAGACAGUUGCCCCACAAUCUCACUGUGUGAGCAGGAAGAGAAAAGGGGCCCUCCAUCAACAAAGAAGAGAGCCCUGACCAACACUGAAUCUGCUCCUGCAUUGUGCUUGGACUUCCAGACUCCAGAACUGUGAGUGACAGACACAUUUCUGUUGUAUGAAAGCUACCCAGUCUGUAGUAUUUUGUAAUCGUCAGAAGAACAUACCAAGACUAAGCAGGAUAGAGUCCUGCACAGCACAAGCCCUGCUUCUUUUCCACUUGCUCAUUCAUGGCCCUUCAAUUCCUGUUCUUCAUCCACUGGUGUGAAUUCUGCAGGCCCAAUCUUGAAUAGCUGGGCUAAAACUCCAAUUCCUCAUCUUCAGUGAUUUUCUACAGAUUUUUUCCCCAAGGCAUAUCAACAAGAUUUCAGCAUAAGGGGAAUUCCCAUCCUCUAAUAAAAGAUGCACUGAGAGAUUUAUUUUGGUACUGAAAGGCUGUUCUUGUGACCAGCACAGAAGCUUUGACAAUAAGACUACUCCUCCUUUCUGCC
Molecule: long non-coding RNA, 793 nt
Filed under: Chinchilla lanigera (long-tailed chinchilla)
Lineage: Eukaryota; Metazoa; Chordata; Mammalia; Rodentia; Chinchillidae
Description: lncRNA (ENSCLAG00000024956.1)
Source: RNAcentral